AUUGAACGCUGGCGGAAUGCUUUACACAUGCAAGUCGAACGGCAGCACGGACUUCGGUCUGGUGGCGAGUGGCGAACGGGUGAGUAAUGUAUCGGAACGUGCCCAGUCGUGGGGGAUAACGUAGUGAAAAUUACGCUAAUACCGCAUACGAUCUAUGAAUGAAAGCGGGGGAUUGCAAGACCUCGCGCGAUUGGAGCGGCCGAUAUCAGAUUAGGUAGUUGGUGGGGUAAAGGCCCACCAAGCCAACGAUCUGUAGCUGGUCUGAGAGGACGACCAGCCACACUGGAACUGAGACACGGUCCAGACUCCUACGGGAGGCAGCAGUGGGGAAUUUUGGACAAUGGGCGAAAGCCUGAUCCAGCCAUUCCGCGUGCAGGAUGAAGGCCCUCGGGUUGUAAACUGCUUUUGUACAGAACGAAAAGGUUUCUACUAAUACUAGGAGCUCAUGACGGUACUGUAAGAAUAAGCACCGGCUAACUACGUGCCAGCCGCCGCGGUAA
This 500-nucleotide ribosomal RNA is filed under the name uncultured bacterium. RNAcentral describes it as "partial 16S ribosomal RNA". It matches the Rfam family "Bacterial small subunit ribosomal RNA", at positions 30 to 523 of the family's 1533-position model. The record is from RNAcentral.